RNAcentral lists this ribosomal RNA (497 nucleotides) under uncultured bacterium. RNAcentral's name for it is "partial 16S ribosomal RNA". It matches the Rfam family "Bacterial small subunit ribosomal RNA", at positions 28 to 507 of the family's 1533-position model. The record is from RNAcentral.
GAUGAACGCUGGCGGCGUGCCUAAUACAUGCAAGUCGAGCGAACGGACGAGAAGCUUGCUUUUCUGAUGUUAUCGGCGGACGGGUGAUUAACACGUGGAUAACCUACCUAUAAGACUGGGAUAACUUCGGGAAACCGGAGCUAAUACCGGAUAAUAUUUUGAACCUCAUGGUUCAAAAGUUAAAGACGGUCUUGCUGUCACUUAUAGAUUGAUCCGCGCUGCAUUAGCUAGUUGGUAAGGUAACGGCUUACCAAGGCAACGAUGCAUAGCCGACCUGAGAGGGUGAUAGGCCACACGGGAAGUGAGAAAGGGUCCAGACACCGACGGGAGGAAACAGUAGGGAAUCUUCCGCAAGGGGGGAGAGCGUAACAGAGAAACGCGGCGGGAGGGAUGAAGGUCUUCGGAUCGUAAAACUAUGUUAUUAGGGAAGAACAUAUGUGUAAGUAACUGUGCACAUCUUGACGGUACCUAAUGAAAAAGCCACGGCUAACUACGUG